This 65-nucleotide transfer RNA is filed under the name Thalassiosira minuscula. It matches the Rfam family "tRNA". From Rfam's summary of the family: Transfer RNA (tRNA) molecules are approximately 80 nucleotides in length. Lineage: Eukaryota; Bacillariophyta; Thalassiosirophyceae; Thalassiosirales; Thalassiosiraceae. The record is from RNAcentral.
GGUGUAGCCAAGUGGUAAGGCAGCAGUUUUUGGUACUGUGCAUCGUAGGUUCGAAUCCUACCACC